UACGUAGGGUGCGAGCGUUGCCCGGAUUUAUUGGGCGUAAAGGGCGCGCAGGCGGUACGGCACGUCCGUUGUGAAAUCGCUCGGCUCAACUGGGCGGGGUCAGCGGAUACGGCCGCACUUGAGCAAGCUAGGGGGCAAUGGAAUUCCCGGUGUAGUGGUGGAAUGCGUAGAUAUCGGGAGGAACACCAGUGGCGAAGGCGGUUGCCUGGAGCUUUGCUGACGCUGAGGCGCGAAAGCUAGGGGAGCAAACGGG
This 253-nucleotide ribosomal RNA is filed under the name uncultured bacterium. RNAcentral's name for it is "partial 16S ribosomal RNA". It matches the Rfam family "Bacterial small subunit ribosomal RNA", at positions 524 to 776 of the family's 1533-position model. The record is from RNAcentral.